AGUGAACGCUGGCGGUAGGCCUAACACAUGCAAGUCGAACGGCAGCACAGUAAGAGCUUGCUCUUACGGGUGGCGAGUGGCGGACGGGUGAGGCAUACAUCGGAAUCUACUUUUUCGUGGGGGAUAACGUAGGGAAACUUACGUUAAUACCGCAUACGACCUACGGGUGAAAGCAGGGGAUCUUCGGACCUUGCGCGAUUGAAUGAGCCGAUGUCGGAUUAGCUAGUUGGCGGGGUAAAGGCCCACCAAGGCGACGAUCCGUAGCUGGUCUGAGAGGAUGAUCAGCCACACUGGAACUGAGACACGGUCCAGACUCCUACGGGAGGCAGCAGUGGGGAAUAUUGGACAAUGGGCGCAAGCCUGAUCCAGCCAUGCCGCGUGGGUGAAGAAGGUCUUCGGGUUGUAAAGCCCUUUUGUUGGGAAAGAAAAGCAGCAGGUUAAUACCCCGCUGUUCUGACGGUACCCAAAGAAUAAGCACCGGCUAACUUCGUG
Molecule: ribosomal RNA, 492 nt
Filed under: uncultured bacterium
Lineage: Bacteria
Description: partial 16S ribosomal RNA
Rfam family: Bacterial small subunit ribosomal RNA
Source: RNAcentral